CUGCUGUCAGUUUGAGCUCACUCACUAUUACACUUUAAGAGCUGAAAAGUUUCAUACCAUUUUAUUUCAAAGCACUUCAUUUAAAAUCUUGAAAUCGUAUGUUAUUAACUGUAAAAUAUUUAAGAUAAAUAAGCAUUUUUUUUAAUUGUUUGUUUAUUUGUUUGUUUGUUUUUUUAGCCACAACAGUAGUAAAAUCCUAAAAAUGUUGUGGUGAAUUUCUAUCAUGAAUUCAGGACAGUUUGAUAAUACGUUCAUGAGGAAACAUACGCAGCUCCACCGGAUGUAAAAUCCUUUAAUUUCCAGCCACAAGAUUAAAGCGGUUAGAUGUCAAAAUCCUCUUACCAACCCAAAAUACACUGAAGGUUGAUCAAUUAUUUCAUUAACUAAGUAGAGGUCCAAGACAUGACGAAAGACAAAUUGAAUCAAUUACCAGAGGCUAAUCAGAACAAAGGGAACUUUAAUUACAGGAAGUUUAAUUAAAACGCUUGCCAAGUGUGAUAUUAAGGGAGCGCUUAAUAUAUUCUGGUGGAAAAGCCACACAUCCACAGGAAAUGAAAAACAGGAACAUUUUGUUUUACCUCAAACAGGUUGUACAGACUGUUUAUGAAUUGUAUUGCCUCCAUGGAGAACACAUUAACAGGUAACAGAAAAUCACAAAACCUGCACAAUUAUUAAAAACAUCACUAUAAAUAAGCAAAGUCAACUUAAUGUUUGCACAUGAAAUCAUAAUAUUAUCCUAUUUUUAUAUUCCAGUUCAGGAAGUCAAAGGAAACGGUCUGUUUGUGGUGCAGUGAGAUUGUGGAGAGUGUUAAUCUGUAAGGCUUUGGAUCAGAUUAAACAUCUGCAGCGGGAGGAUCAGCAGAUCAAGUCACUCUUUCAGUCUGUACAAGGAGAUUACGGGCGGCAAUUUGUGUUUAUGGGAUUCCCGAAAUUCACUUAACAACUGCCCUCCUAUUAAAAGGUCAAGCAGGGAGGAGGUAGAGCUAUCCCAACGUCAUCCCUCAUUUCUGUUCCUGAUAAAAAACAAACUAAUGAAAUCCAGCUUUCACAAAGAACUGCCUGAUCUUAUCAGAAGAAUAUCUGGCAUUGAAGAACAUCUUUAUUAGUGCUGUUUGUUAAGAGAUCAAACCUCUUAAAAUCUUGCUGUAGUGUUUGUGCAUCCAGACAUGAAUGAAUGCUCAAAUCAGGUGUGUUAUUACUGUUAUUACUGUUAUUAAUUUUUAACCGCUGGAUCAUAAAACAGGUGAAUAAAAGAUAAUUGGAGUAUGUUUUAUAAGAAAAAAAACUAUUUAGGUUUUUCUACUUAAAAAUGUCACGUUUGAAUUCAGUGUGUCACAUGCUUUUUCUUUGCAAUUGUUUGUGAAUUUGCUAGCAAUUUCUGAGUGAAAAUUCCUGGCUUUUUUUUUUCUCAGUUAAAUGCUACUUCAUUCUUAUUAUUGACGUUUGCACAGGAACAUUCAUCAAAUAUCCAAAUCUAGUUUGCUUUCUGUAAUUUGACAGGCAUUUCACAGUAAAUUUUUAAAACAUUGUAAAUAGGAUGUACACGCUAAAAUAUUUUUUUUGAAGUUGCUACAACUUUGCAACUUCCUUUGUAAUAAUUUGUAACAUUUUCUAGCAAUUACUCCAUUUUUUCAGCUUUAGCAUAUUUAUCCAUGGGCUGUACUGACUACUUGAUAUUUGUACUACAUCUCUUUUUAGCAGUUUCCUCUCAGGUUUCAGCCUGAGUGUCUCUGGGUUUUGCUGGUUUGAGAUUACAUUCAUUCGUUCAUUAUUAAUAGCAUCGCACCAUUAUCUCCCUGUGAGCUCCUCUUACAUCGUGCCCAAACCGCCUUGGUGAACACAUCGCAUGGAAAGGCCCAAGCGUUUGUGUGAGAGCCUGGGAAGAUGGAUAGGUGUGGGAUCAAAUAUUUAUCAUUGUAUAGCAGUAGGCUGUAAGAUGUAAAAGGUCAAAGAGCAACACACACACACACACACACACACACACACACACACACACACACACACACACACACACACACACACACACACAUAAGAAAUCUUUCCAUCGCUCAUCUGUUUGCUGUCAGCAUUCCACUAUACUGUGGAAUGGAAUGUGCAUGAAGUACCAGUAUAAUGGCAAUUCAAAUGCACUUAAAUAUUGAUUUAUAUCAA
Long non-coding RNA from Cyprinus carpio carpio, 2151 nucleotides. The record is from Ensembl. Lineage: Eukaryota; Metazoa; Chordata; Actinopteri; Cypriniformes; Cyprinidae.